CUACGUGCCAGCAGCCGCGGUAAUACGUAGGGCGCGAGCGUUGUCCGGAAUUAUUGGGCGUAAAGAGCUUGUAGGCGGUUUGUCGCGUCUGCUGUGAAAGGCCGGGGCUUAACCCCGUGUAUUGCAGUGGGUACGGGCAGACUAGAGUGCAGUAGGGGAGACUGGAAUUCCUGGUGUAGCGGUGGAAUGCGCAGAUAUCAGGAGGAACACCGAUGGCGAAGGCAGGUCUCUGGGCUGUAACUGACGCUGAGAAGCGAAAGCAUGGGGAGCGAACAGGAUUAGAUACCCUGGUAGUCCAUGCCGUAAACGUUGGGCACUAGGUGUGGGGGACAUUCCACGUUUUCCGCGCCGUAGCUAACGCAUUAAGUGCCCCGCCUGGGGAGUACGACCGCAAGGUUGAAACUCAAAGGAAUUGACGGGGGCCCGCACAAGCGGUGGAGCAUGUGGUUUAAUUCGAAGCAACGCGAAGAACCUUACCAGGUCUUGACAUCCCUCUGACCGCUCUAGAGAUAGAGUUUUC
RNAcentral lists this ribosomal RNA (520 nucleotides) under uncultured bacterium. RNAcentral's name for it is "bacterial SSU rRNA". It matches the Rfam family "Bacterial small subunit ribosomal RNA", at positions 501 to 1016 of the family's 1533-position model. The record is from RNAcentral.